UAUUUCUUGUUAUUUACUGUUAUUUCUGAGUAAUUUAAAGAGCAAAUAAGAAAAUAAAAGACCACCUCUCAAUCCCUGGGGACAGACUGCCAGGUUUUGGAAAGAUUGGACACUUUGUUAGCACUCUAAAUGGACAAUGUAUCUUUUUGCCUUUUAACUUUACAAAAUUGAAACUUUGGGACAGUUUUACAACUUUGGGAAAAAGUUGCCUCUUUGGCUGUUUGAGAGUCUUUAUUUUUGAUACUUUAUUACUUGUGUCCCCCUGAAGGCCAAAAGGGAAAAAGUCUUUAAUUGACUGAGGAAUUUUCCACCUAACAGCAGCCUGGGAAAGUACAAUAACAAAACAAUUUUGACUGUGAGAGUGACCUUGACUUUUAGAUAAAGUGCCAUGGAAGGAAGAGAUCUGAGGUCUGGGAAAGGCAGGCAGCAGAGCAACAUUGCACAACAGCAACAGCGUAGGCAAUCCAUAGCUGGACCACAAGGGGAGGAAGAAGGAUUGGCCAGUUUAUUUAAAAUUGUGAAUGAAGGUUUUGAAAAAUUGGGUCAACAAAAUGCCGAGGCUCUAGAAGCCAUUAGACAAAACUCUGCAAGUAUUGACAAGUUGACCCGACAGACUAAUGAAAAUACAGAUGUGAUUAAAAAACUACUGGAACAAUCUGCUGAAACCCAAAAACAGCUUUGGAAGCCAGAGAAAAGGCGGUAGCUGCUGAAGAAAAACUACCACCUUUAAUUAAACAAGUUCAAGAGCACCACAUAAGAUUGGGAACGCACCAGGAAUUGUUAUCUCUUCUGGAGUUAAAGGAGAAACAGACCAACUUAAGGAUCAGAGCAGUACCUGAGAUUGAAAAAGAGAGCCUGGCAGACUUUCUGACGCAAGAAUUUGCCAACUUUUGGCAAUUGAAUGAUAAGGAAGAUUUCAAGAUAACGUCUGCUUUUAGGCUCGGAAGAAGAGCAAGGAAAAAUAGAGUGAGAGACUGCCUGAUUACCCUGCGAUCAAAAGAGGAACGAGAUAAAAUUUUGAGCCUACAUUAUCAAAAUACACUGACAAUACAAGACUCAAGGAUAGAAAUAUUUAAAGACAUUCCAAAGCUUCUUUUGGAGCUUAGGUCUAACUAUCGAGACCUGGUGACGUUGCUGAGAGGAAACAGAAUUUUUUUCAGGUGGGAGUUCCCUCAAGGCCUAUCUUUCAGUUUUAGAGGCAAAAAAAUUAAAAUUAAAUCUGUGGAGGAGAAACAGAACUUUUUGAGAGACUACCAAGAGGACCUACAAAAAGGAUUGGAGCCAGAAGCCCCUUCAACAGGAUUGGAUCUUACAUUACCACCGUUGGGAGAGGAUAAGACAGAGAAGCCGAAACCACCAACAGAGGAAGAAGAGUUAUUGGGAGCAGUUGGAGGGAAAUAAAGAAAUCAUCAUGGCUCUGCAACUUUUAACUUGGAAUGUUUGUGGUCUGAAUUCUCCGGAAAAAGAAGGAAAGUAUUUCAUAUACUUAAAAAAGAACAAUUGGACUUAAUUUGCUUACAGGAAACCCAUGUGACGAGGCUCCAUAGGAAAAUAUUGAUUAAUAAGAGACUGGGCCAAGAAUUUAUCUCAUCAGACAAAGUUAAAAAACGAGGAGUGGUAAUUUACGCAAAGGAGAGCCUCUCACCAAAAUUUGUCUUUAAGGAUGAACAAGGAAGAUUCAUAGCAAUUGAAAUUCAAGUACAAGGAGAAAAAUUUUUGAUAGUAGGUGUAUAUGCACCAAAUGAGGGGAAAUCUAUAUUCUACAAAAAGUUGCAUGAGACCUUGAUGGACUAUAUGGACUAUAAUACUGUUUUCAUGGGAGAUAUGAAUGGGGUGGUUUCUACAAAUAUGGACAAGUCACAAAGAGAGGUAGUUACUAAAGAUGGUAGACUACCGAAAACAUUUUUGAACUAACUGACAAUAUGGAUUUGAUUGACAUUUGGAGAACUAAGAACCCCCUUGAUAGAGAAGGAACCUUUUUUUCUGAAGCCCAGAAGACAUGGACAAGAAUUGACCAAAUCUGGACUACUAGAGGACUGGCACCUAAGGUUAAGAAGGUAGAGAUCUGCCCAAAAACAUGCUCCGACCAUAACGCCGUGAGAAUGGAAAUGAAGUUAACAUCUAUCGGUUCCUUCCGAUGGAGGAUGAAUGACACCUUGUUUAGAGAUCAAGAGGUGAUUAAGAAGGCCCAAAAGACAUUGAGGGACUAUUUUGAGAUAAACUUGAAUACAACUGUAGAAAAAGAGUAAUCUGGGAUGCAAGCAAAGCUGUUAUGAGGGGCUUCCUGAUUCAACAGAAUUCAAUUAAGAAGAAGGCCCAAAACG
Molecule: long non-coding RNA, 2324 nt
Filed under: Podarcis lilfordi (Lilford's wall lizard)
Lineage: Eukaryota; Metazoa; Chordata; Lepidosauria; Squamata; Lacertidae
Source: RNAcentral